CCUUCGGGGUGAAGCUCGUGGAACGAGCGGCGGACGGGUGAGUAACACGUGGGCAACCUGCCUGUAAGAUCGGAAUAACCCCGGGAAACCGGGGCUAAUGCCGGGUAAUACUUUUCUUCGCAUGAAGAUGAGUUGAAAGAUGGCUUCUCGCUAUCACUUACAGAUGGGCCCGCGGCGCAUUAGCUAGUUGGUGAGGUAACGGCUCACCAAGGCAACGAUGCGUAGCCGACCUGAGAGGGUGAUCGGCCACACUGGGACUGAGACACGGCCCAGACUCCUACGGGAGGCAGCAGUAGGGAAUCUUCCGCAAUGGACGAAAGUCUGACGGAGCAACGCCGCGUGAACGAUGAAGGUCUUCGGAUCGUAAAGUUCUGUUGUCAGGGAAGAACAAGUACCGUGCGAAUAGAGCGGUACCUUGACGGUACCUGACGAGGAAGCCCCGGCUAACUACGUGCCAGCAGCCGCGGUAAUACGUAGGGGGCAAGCGUUGUCCGGAAUUAUUGGGCGUAAAGCGCGCGCAGGCGGUUCCUUAAGUCUGAUGUGAAAGCCCACGGCUCAACCGUGGAGGGUCAUUGGAAACUGGGGAACUUGAGGACAGAAGAGGAGAGUGGAAUUCCACGUGUAGCGGUGAAAUGCGUAGAUAUGUGGAGGAACACCAGUGGCGAAGCGACUCUCUGGUCUGUUUCUGACGCUGAGGUGCGAAAGCGUGGGUAGCAAACAGGAUUAGAUACCCUGGUAGUCCACGCCGUAAACGAUGAGUGCUAGGUGUUAAGGGGCUUCA
Molecule: ribosomal RNA, 781 nt
Filed under: Halobacillus sp. PB17
Lineage: Bacteria; Bacillati; Bacillota; Bacilli; Caryophanales; Bacillaceae
Description: bacterial SSU rRNA
Rfam family: Bacterial small subunit ribosomal RNA
Source: RNAcentral